AGGAAUCAGAAGAUGAGUAAGAUACCAAAGAAGAUCUUGAGGAAGAUUUAAAAGGCGAACCAGACAAAGCUGAUGAUGUGUCAGACCCUAAUUCCCACUAGUUCUAAAUAAUUUUUUUAUUUAUUUUGGAUUUAUAUUUUUAAGACCUAUUUUAUUUAUGGAUUAUUUUUAUUUUUUUAGUUUAGUUAGGAUUUUAGUAUUAUAUACAUAGUUUGU
RNAcentral lists this long non-coding RNA (216 nucleotides) under Gossypium raimondii (Peruvian cotton). RNAcentral's name for it is "long non-coding RNA (GRAI_LNC001393)". The record is from RNAcentral. Lineage: Eukaryota; Viridiplantae; Streptophyta; Magnoliopsida; Malvales; Malvaceae.